GACGAACGCUGGCGGCGUGCCUAAUACAUGCAAGUCGAACGGAAAGGCCAUGCUUUUGUGGCGUGCUCGAUUGGCGAACGGGUGAGAAACACGCGAGUAACCUGCCCUUAUAUUUGGGAUAAAUUUAGGAAAAUGGGGCUCAUAUCGGAUAGGAGCUCUUGCUGCACGGUGGGGGUUGGAAAGUUUCGGCGGUUGGGGCUGGUCUCGAGGCUUAUCAGCUUGUUGGUGGGGUAGUGGCUUACCAAGGCUUUGACGGGUAGCCGGCCUGAGAGGGUGACCGGCCACAUUGGGACUAAGGUACGGCGCAGUCUCGUACGGGAGGCAGCAGUGGGGAGUAUUGCAGAGUAGGCGGGAGCCUGAUACGGCAGCGCCGCGUGCGUGAUGACGGCCUUCGGGUUGUAAACCGCUUUCGCAUGAGACGUAGAGUGAGUGACGGUAAUGAGUAAAGAAGCACCGGCUAACUACGUG
Molecule: ribosomal RNA, 468 nt
Filed under: uncultured bacterium
Lineage: Bacteria
Description: partial 16S ribosomal RNA
Rfam family: Bacterial small subunit ribosomal RNA
Source: RNAcentral